UUACGGCCAUAUCAGGUUGAAACACUGGUUCCCGUACGAUCAACGAAAUUAAGCAACUACGUGCCUGGUCAGUACAUAGAUGGAUUAGUACUUGGGAAUAGCAGGGGCUGUA
This is a non-coding RNA of Acanthosepion pharaonis, 112 nucleotides long. NCBI's taxonomy places the organism in Eukaryota, Metazoa, Mollusca, Cephalopoda, Sepiida, Sepiidae. The record is from the annotation of a GenBank genome assembly.